This 240-nucleotide unclassified non-coding RNA is filed under the name soil metagenome. RNAcentral describes it as "partial contains 5.8S ribosomal RNA, internal transcribed spacer 2, and large subunit ribosomal RNA". The record is from RNAcentral.
AACGCACGAGACCUGCGGACCUGCGGAAGGAUCAUUCUUCGAGCGAGGGCGGUAGCCCGAGCGAGUGCGGGAGGUCGCCCGGUAGGGCGACUGACCGAGCGAGGGGCGCAGUCCAAGAGGACGAGCAGCCCCCGGAGGACCGAGCAACUGGUAGGGGGAGAGUCCGGGCGGGGGAGGCGGAGAGCUUGCAGCCCGGGACGCCACAACUACACUCAACUCAGCACACCACAAACACUACAA